GACGAACGCUGGCGGCGUGCUUAACACAUGCAAGUCGAACGGAGAUAUCCUAAUAGUAAUAUGAAGAUAUCUUAGUGGCGGACGGGUGAGUAACACGUGGGUAACCUGCCCUAUGGAGGGGGAUAACACAAAGAAAUUUGUGCUAAUACCGCAUAACAUAACGAUAUCGCAUGGUAUUGUUAUCAAAGAUUUAUUGCCAUAGGAUGGACCCG
This 212-nucleotide ribosomal RNA is filed under the name uncultured Bacillota bacterium. RNAcentral describes it as "uncultured Firmicutes bacterium partial 16S ribosomal RNA". It matches the Rfam family "Bacterial small subunit ribosomal RNA", at positions 28 to 233 of the family's 1533-position model. Lineage: Bacteria; Bacillati; Bacillota. The record is from RNAcentral.